ACACUGUUGGUGAAACGGUAUCAUGCUUGCCUUCCACGGUCACGUAAUCAUAACUACGUAAGCAAGCGGCGUGGGUUCGACUCCCGCACAGUGUA
Fomitopsis serialis is the source of this 95-nucleotide non-coding RNA. Lineage: Eukaryota; Fungi; Basidiomycota; Agaricomycetes; Polyporales; Fomitopsidaceae. The record is from the annotation of a RefSeq genome assembly.